Molecule: ribosomal RNA, 326 nt
Filed under: uncultured eukaryote
Lineage: Eukaryota
Description: partial 18S ribosomal RNA
Rfam family: Eukaryotic small subunit ribosomal RNA
Source: RNAcentral
CCCUUAGAUGUCCUGGGCCGCACGCGCGCUACACUGAACGGAUCAGCGCGUUUUCCCUUCCCGAGAGGGACGGGUAACCUGCUGAACCCCGUUCGUGGUAGGGAUCGUGGCUUGCAAUUAUUCCCCGUGAACCAGGAAUGCCCAGUAAGUGCAAGUCAUAAGCUUGCGUUGAUUACGUCCCUGCCCUUUGUACACACCGCCCGUCGCUACUACCGAUUGAACGUUUUAGUGAGGUACUCGGACUGAGCCUCAGAAGAUUCACGUCUUUUGUGCUGCUCGGGAAGAUUCCCAAACUUGAGCGUUUAGAGGAAGUAAAAGUCGUAACA